Molecule: long non-coding RNA, 1605 nt
Organism: Triticum dicoccoides
Lineage: Eukaryota; Viridiplantae; Streptophyta; Magnoliopsida; Poales; Poaceae
Exons: 5
Source: RefSeq, a predicted model, not a curated record
UCGAGGCGCCUUGACCGCUGCGCCGUCCACGCUCCAUCCGCCCGGACCGCCGCGCCGCCAGGACACAGCCCGCGCCGACCGGGUCGCCGCGUCCACGCGCCGCCAGGACACAGCCCACGCCGGACCUCCACGCUGCAGGAAGCAUUGAGCAGUUGCAUUGCAAAUACAAGGAACAUCAUCAGUCCAACAGAGAGGUAGCAACAAGAGGUUGAGGUUAUCACUCGAGGCAAGAAAUCCUAUCGUAUCCUUCCAAACUCAGAGAGGAGCAUUCCUUACUUUUAAUAGAUCAAAUAAUUUGAUGAUGCUUUGGUUUCUUACUAUUAUCUGUUGAAAUGCAUGGUAUCUGUUGAAGUGCGUGGUAAGGAUGACAAGCCUACCAAAUGUUUAUUCCAAAUCUAAAAUGAUAGCUCCCUGUUAUGUAUGCAUAAUCAGGAGCGAUAAGCCCUGCAUUUGGCCUUAAUAGGAUGAAAUAAAUAACUUAUCAUUGUUAUGCAGAUUAGCUAGGUUCAGCUAUGUGCUUAUGACAUAUCAUCAAUCUGUCCCCAUUGAUUAUGCAUGUAUUUUUCUCUUGUAUUAGCCUGAUGUAGAAAAUAACUGAAUUUUUUUUAUGUUCUUGCAUCGCAAGACCAGCUUGGGUGAGACUGCUAUUGCCAAAUAGAUUGUUCUGAUUAAACCACAAUUUUUGUGGAACCGGUCUCUUUUAGCUCACACAUUAUCUGAGAUUUAGUGUUACUAUUUUCUCUGAUGCCAAAUUGAUUUUGUUGAUUAUAAAUUAUAUAGAUAUAGUUCCUUCUUCUUGUUGUCUUUCUGUAGCAUCACUGACUGUACGUGCAUCUUAACAUCUCGAGUCAACGGUGAUACUGUUUUCAGUGUCUAAUUUUUUCUGUAAUGCAACUUCACGUGGAUGUAACAGAAUGUGCAAAGUUGUUCCUUCAACGCAAAGCUGCAAUGUGAUUUGAAAGUACCAGGUUUAGAUAGUGGAGGAUCCUGAAUUGAUGCAUAUAUUUCCUCCAAAGGUAACUAGGCUCCAAAGUGCAGAAUGAGGAGAGGGUUUCUGCUGUUAUUGUUAAAUCUUAAUGAAACAUCUGUUCCUGGUUCAGAGGUUUAUAAGUUCCCUUUCUCAAAUAUCAAGGUGAUGUAUUUGCAAACCUCAAUGCAAAAUGGUUAGUCAGUCUCAAACAGCUGCAGCUCUACUUUCCAGGUCAUGGGCAUCCCAAAGAAACUUGUUCCGACCAUUGGCAUUUUCAUGGACCACCGCCAGAAGAACAUGUAACUCGAGGUUAUGCAAUCUAAUGUCCACAGGCUCGAGAUACAAGGCCAACUUGGCAAGCUUUAUUUUCCUAAGCCAUCCAGAGGUCCAGGGCGACCACAUGCCCAUCACUCACGGUGGCGGCGAGAAGCACAUGCAUACGGCAAGCUCCGUGUUGAGAUGAUGAACCAACACCUGUUGGGAGCCCAGAUGAAGAAGGCUGCAGACGUGGAGAAAGCGGAUAAGUGAUGAGAUGUUUAUGGCAGCUAAUGGAUGAUGUUAUCUUAGUUUCUGAAUUUUUGUUUUGGUUGACUCGGAAACCUUGUUUGAUGUUUGAAGAUCCCUUUUUGCCCACU